Long non-coding RNA from Neopsephotus bourkii (Bourke's parrot), 380 nucleotides. RefSeq lists it as uncharacterized. NCBI's taxonomy places the organism in Eukaryota, Metazoa, Chordata, Aves, Psittaciformes, Psittacidae. The transcript is spliced from 3 exons. The record is from RefSeq and is a predicted model, not a curated record.
UCUGCAGCAUCACAGCAGGCUGCCAGCCACAGCGUCUCUGGCACCGACAGCUUGCCUUUAACCCGGGCUCUGGAAGGAAUUGCCCCUGCAAGGAGAUAAAGCUCAGCCUCAGAGCCAAGCUGCCGCCAGCACCCCAUCUAAUCUGCACUGCAAGCCACCUUUCCUCACUGCUUCAAAAAGCUUUUGGGUUGUGUCACUGCCAAAGCACAUCUUCAUUCAGGGAGUCAGCCGUGAGGCCAUCUGUCCAAACAACCUGCAACAGCCAAGGGCAGGAUCCAAGCAGACAGGCUGGAUCUCCUGUCUCCUACCAUGAACUCUGUCCAGGGCCCUGCUGCUUUCUAUAUGUCACUGUCCUAUUCGCAUGAGAAGGAAGAGGAAAG